AGAGUUUGAUCAUGGCUCAGAGUGAACGCUGGCGGCGUGCCUAACACAUGCAAGUCGAACGAGAACGGGUUAAAGUUUACUUUAACUGUCAGCUAAGUGGCGCACGGGUGAGUAAUAUAUAGUUAAUCUGCCCCAAAGAAGAGAAUAAUUGUUGGAAACGACUUGUAACUCUCUAUAUGCCUUUAUCACAAAAGUGAGCAAGGGAAACAUUUAUGGCUUUGGGAUGAGACUGUACGGUAUCAGUUAGUUGGUAAGGUAAUGGCUUACCAAGACUAUGACGCCUAACUGGUUUGAGAGGAUGAUCAGUCACGCUGGAACUGAGACACGGUCCAGACUCCUACGGGAGGCAGCAGUGGGGAAUAUUGCACAAUGGAGGAAACUCUGAUGCAGCAACGCCGCGUGGAGGAUGACACAUUUCGGUGCGUAAACUCCUUUUAUAUGAGAAGAUAAUGACGGUAUCAUAUGAAUAAGCACCGGCUAACUCCGUGCCAGCAGCCGCGGUAAUACGGGGGGUGCAAGCGUUACUCGGAAUCACUGGGCGUAAAGAGCAUGUAGGCGGAUAGAUAAGUUGGAAGUGAAAUCCUAUGGCUUAACCAUAGAACUGCUUCCAAAACUGUCUAUCUAGAAUAUGGGAGAGGUAGAUGGAAUUUCUGGUGUAGGGGUAAAAUCCGUAGAGAUCAGAAAGGAAUACCGAUUGCGAAGGCGAUCUACUGGGAACAUUAUUGACGCUCAGAUGCGAAAGCGUGGGGAGCAAACAGGAUUAGAUACCCUGGUAGUCCACGCCCUAAACGAUGCACACUAGUUGUUGCCUUGCUAGACAAGGCAGUAAUGCAGUUAACACAGUAAGUGUGCCGCCUGGGGAGUACGGUCGCAAGAUUAAAACUCAAAGGAAUAGACGGGGACCCGCACAAGCGGUGGAGCAUGUGGUUUAAUUCGACGAUACGCGAAGAACCUUACCUGGCCUUGACAUAGAGAGAACUUACUAGAGAUAGUUUGGUGCUAGCUUGCUAGAACUUUCAUACAGGUGCUGCACGGCUGUCGUCAGCUCGUGUCGUGAGAUGUUGGGUUAAGUCCCGCAACGAGCGCAACCCUCGUGUUUAGUUACUAACAGUUCGGCUGAGGACUCUAGACAGACUGCCUACGCAAGUAGGAGGAAGGUGAGGACGACGUCAAGUCAUCAUGGCCCUUACGGCCAGGGCUACACACGUGCUACAAUGGGGUAUACAAAGAGCCGCAAUACCGUGAGGUGGAGCAAAUCUCAUAAAAUGCCUCCCAGUUCGGAUUGUAGUCUGCAACUCGACUACAUGAAGUUGGAAUCGCUAGUAAUCGUAGAUCAGCUAUGCUACGGUGAAUACGUUCCCGGGUCUUGUACUCACCGCCCGUCACACCAUGGGAGUUGAUUUCAUUCGAAGCGGGGAUGCUAAAAUAGCUACCUUCCACAGUGGAAUUAGCGACUAGGGUGAAGUCGUAACAAGGUAUCCGUA
RNAcentral lists this ribosomal RNA (1484 nucleotides) under uncultured bacterium. RNAcentral describes it as "bacterial SSU rRNA". It matches the Rfam family "Bacterial small subunit ribosomal RNA". The record is from RNAcentral.